GCCGGGGUGGCCGAGCCUGGUCCAAGGCGUGGGCCUUGAGAGCCCAUCCCCGCAAGGGGGCCCGGGUUCAAAUCCCGGCCCCGGCGCCA
RNAcentral lists this transfer RNA (89 nucleotides) under Caldivirga maquilingensis IC-167. Its description in RNAcentral is "tRNA-Ser (TGA) (tRNA-Ser-TGA-1-1)". It matches the Rfam family "tRNA". From Rfam's summary of the family: Transfer RNA (tRNA) molecules are approximately 80 nucleotides in length. Their secondary structure includes four short double-helical elements and three loops (D, anti-codon, and T loops). The record is from RNAcentral. Lineage: Archaea; Thermoproteati; Thermoproteota; Thermoprotei; Thermoproteales; Thermoproteaceae.